This is a ribosomal RNA of Labrus bergylta (ballan wrasse), 119 nucleotides long. NCBI's taxonomy places the organism in Eukaryota, Metazoa, Chordata, Actinopteri, Labriformes, Labridae. The record is from Ensembl.
GCUUACGGCCAUACCACCCUGAACACGCCCGAUCUCGUCCGAUCUCGGAAGCUAAGCAGGGUCGGGCCUGGUUAGUACUUGGAUGGGAGACCGCCUGGGAAUACCAGGUGCUGUAAGUU